Non-coding RNA from Termitomyces sp. T32_za158, 86 nucleotides. The record is from the annotation of a GenBank genome assembly. NCBI's taxonomy places the organism in Eukaryota, Fungi, Basidiomycota, Agaricomycetes, Agaricales, Lyophyllaceae.
GUCUCGAUAGCUCAGUGGUAGAGCAUGCGAUUGCAGUUAUUGAUAUACAUAUCGCAGUGUCCGGUGUUCGAACCACCGUCGGGACU